This 487-nucleotide long non-coding RNA is filed under the name Homo sapiens (human). Its description in RNAcentral is "HSALNT0347196". Lineage: Eukaryota; Metazoa; Chordata; Mammalia; Primates; Hominidae. The record is from RNAcentral.
AGAGACAGGACAGAGCUCUCAGCCGCUGUGCUCACAGCUUCUUUGGUCUCGGUCACUGGGGGUCCGCCUGAAGUCGCAGGGAGAAGCCGGAGAGACUGGCUGCUGAGGCUGGAGGAGUUUUUCUUCUGCUGCAAAGCUGACACGUGUGGUGGUGGUGUUCCGCGCCUCCCGUUCUUCUUUAUAAAAGCCCAGACAUCCAAUUAAACUGCUGUGUCCCGGCGUAUCUGGGAAGCCAUUCCUGCAUGACUCAAAGCCUUUCUCUGCUCUCGCACAUUCCUGUUAGACGAGGACACUGGAUGUUUAGGCACAGUAGCUGCUGAUGCCAAAAAGUCCCCCAGGGAAAGACAAUGAUAAAUUUUGUCAUGUGUUAUGUUUUUAAAAAGUAUUUUACUUCCAGGGAAAUCUUUUCCCUUUAACAUUUCUGAAAAGGAGUUGAAUUCUGGUGUGGUGGGGGCAAUGGCAAGCCAUUGGUUUUCUUAGUGGCAGG